This 596-nucleotide ribosomal RNA is filed under the name Distichodus hypostomatus. RNAcentral describes it as "partial 16S large subunit ribosomal RNA". It matches the Rfam family "Bacterial large subunit ribosomal RNA", at positions 1809 to 2609 of the family's 2925-position model. The record is from RNAcentral. Lineage: Eukaryota; Metazoa; Chordata; Actinopteri; Characiformes; Distichodontidae.
AAAAACAUCGCCUCCCGCAAAACCCAAUGUAUAGGAGGUCCUGCCUGCCCAGUGAACUAGUUUAAACGGCCGCGGUAUCUUGACCGUGCAAAGGUAGCGCAAUCACUUGUCUUUUAAAUGAAGACCUGUAUGAAUGGUGAAACGAGGGCUUAACUGUCUCCCCCCUUAGGUCAGUGAAAUUGAUCUACCCGUGCAGAAGCGGGUAUAAAAAUACAAGACGAGAAGACCCUUUGGAGCUUAAGACAACAAGACCAAUUAUGUCAAAAACCUGCUACAAAACAGAUUAAACCUAAUAACACCUGGUCCAAGUCUUCGGUUGGGGCGACCGCGGGGGAAAAUAAAGCCCCCAUGUGGAACGGGAAAACAUCCUAAAACCAAGAGAGACAUCUCUAAGACACAGAACAUCUGACCAUCACAGAUCCGGCUACAUAGCCGAUCAACGGACCAAGUUACCCUAGGGAUAACAGCGCAAUCCCCUCCCAGAGUCCCUAUCGACAAGGGGGUUUACGACCUCGAUGUUGGAUCAGGACAUCCUAAUGGUGCAGCCGCUAUUAAGGGUUCGUUUGUUCAACGAUUAAAGUCCUACGUGAUCUGAG